UACGGAGGAUCCGAGCGUUAUCCGGAUUUAUUGGGUUUAAAGGGUGCGUAGGUGGUUUUAUAAGUCAGCGGUGAAAGUUUGCAGCUUAACUGUAAAAAUGCCGUUGAAACUGUCGGACUUGAGUGUAAAUGAGGUAGGCGGAAUGCGUGGUGUAGCGGUGAAAUGCAUAGAUAUCACGCAGAACUCCGAUUGCGAAGGCAGCUUACUAAGCUACAACUGACACUGAAGCACGAAAGCGUGGGGAUCAAACAGGAUUAGAUACCCGCGUAGU
RNAcentral lists this ribosomal RNA (271 nucleotides) under uncultured bacterium. Its description in RNAcentral is "partial 16S ribosomal RNA". It matches the Rfam family "Bacterial small subunit ribosomal RNA", at positions 524 to 794 of the family's 1533-position model. The record is from RNAcentral.